AUGGUCACAUCACAUUGAAAUCCUAGUUCCCAUACUGUCACUGAAGUUAAGCAACAUUGAGCCUGAUCAAUACCUAGAUGGGUGACUGUUUGGAAAUACCAGGUGCUGUAA
Non-coding RNA from Acanthosepion pharaonis, 111 nucleotides. The record is from the annotation of a GenBank genome assembly. NCBI's taxonomy places the organism in Eukaryota, Metazoa, Mollusca, Cephalopoda, Sepiida, Sepiidae.